Molecule: long non-coding RNA, 955 nt
Organism: Gallus gallus (chicken)
Lineage: Eukaryota; Metazoa; Chordata; Aves; Galliformes; Phasianidae
Source: Ensembl
CAAAGCUGGACAUGGUUGCUGACAUUUCCCUGCUGAUCCUUUCCUCUCUCCCUACUCUCAAGAAAAUACAAGAAAAGUCUGACCUUGAUAGCAGCUGUCAGGCACAGACACCCUGCUACACUGAGCUCUGGAGACUUUCCCUACAGCAGGCCGAGGCUGGGGGAGCUGAGGAGGUGGUGGGACCAGGAAUCCCAUGGAGAAAGGCUGUGCGACAUGACCAGCCCCCAGCAUCUGAUGCUCGCCGUGGCCUCGGCAGGAUUUUAUUUGCCAUCCUUACAUCCUUCUCCGAGGUCUGUCUUCAAUUAAUGGCUCGUUGUCUCCUCCAGACCCAGGAUGGAUGCAGACAACCCAAAGCCCUGAGCGCCUUUGUGUCAAGCCAAGUUCAAGGUCCUUCCAGACAGUGGGAAGCAUCCCCUGGAACCAACGCAAACAGUGACUGUGUUACAGAGAAAACGAGCGGCUGAAAGAUGUCACCAGAGGAGAAGCAUGAAGAACGUUUCUUCUCCUCCUGCUCUUUAUUCUUUCUUCUUGACACAAUGUCAGGAACUGCUUUUCUCUUUUCCUCCCCACUUCCUCACACGGCGUCUUCACAGCCAGCCUUUGGCAAAGGCGUUUUGGUGGCCAUCUAUUAAUUCUGCUGUGGCCUUUAGUAAUGUCAUCUUGGCUCAAAUGCUUUCUUGAAAUACAGGGCUGCAGAUUUCUCCAAACACACUUGGCAUGUUAUAUGGUGCCGGAGCAAUGCUAACUCCCUUAGAACAUAGAUGAAGCAAACAGUGCUAAUUUAUGCCUUGCUUUUUUAUUCCCAACAUAAUUUUGAUUUUAAUGUCCUAUCCUCACCACAUCAAUAUCUUUCUCACUGCUGGCAUGUUAGAACAAAAAGUAAAUAUUUCAUCUUCCUUUCCUUCACAAAGAUGCUCACCCACAGCAUCUGGGACAAUGCAAAUGAGACGUGACU